CCUACGGGGGGCAGCAGUCGAGAAUCAUUCACAAUGGGGGAAACCCUGAUGGUGCGACGCCGCGUGGGGGAAUGAAGGUCUUCGGAUUGUAAACCCCUGUCAUGUGGGAGCAAAUUAAAAAGAUAGUACCACAAGAGGAAGAGACGGCUAACUCUGUGCCAGCAGCCGCGGUAAUACAGAGGUCUCAAGCGUUGUUCGGAAUCACUGGGCGUAAGGCGUGCGUAGGCUGUUUCGUAAGUCGUGUGUGAAAGGCGCGGGCUCAACCCGCGGACGGCACAUGAUACUGCGAGACUAGAGUAAUGGAGGGGGAACCGGAAUUCUCGGUAUAGCAGUGAAAUGCGUAGAUAUCGAGAGGAACACUCGUGGCGAAGGCGGGUUCCUGGACAUUAACUGACGCUGAGGCACGAAGGCCAGGGGAGCGAAAGGGAUUAGAUACCCGGGUAGUC
RNAcentral lists this ribosomal RNA (446 nucleotides) under uncultured bacterium. Its description in RNAcentral is "partial 16S ribosomal RNA". It matches the Rfam family "Bacterial small subunit ribosomal RNA", at positions 338 to 795 of the family's 1533-position model. The record is from RNAcentral.